Molecule: transfer RNA, 78 nt
Filed under: Crocinitomicaceae bacterium TMED45
Lineage: Bacteria; Pseudomonadati; Bacteroidota; Flavobacteriia; Flavobacteriales; Crocinitomicaceae
Also listed under: 2 other names
Description: tRNA-Val
Rfam family: tRNA
About the family: Transfer RNA (tRNA) molecules are approximately 80 nucleotides in length. Their secondary structure includes four short double-helical elements and three loops (D, anti-codon, and T loops).
Source: RNAcentral
GGGCAUUUAGCUCAGCUGGUUCAGAGCGCUCGCCUCACACGCGAGAGGUCACUGGUUCGAGUCCAGUAUUGCCCACAA